RNAcentral lists this ribosomal RNA (253 nucleotides) under uncultured bacterium. RNAcentral's name for it is "partial 16S ribosomal RNA". It matches the Rfam family "Bacterial small subunit ribosomal RNA", at positions 524 to 776 of the family's 1533-position model. The record is from RNAcentral.
UACGGGGGGGGCAAGCGUUGUUCGGAAUUACUGGGCGUAAAGGGCUCGUAGGUGGCCAACUAAGUCAGACGUGAAAUCCCUCAGCUUAACUGGGGAACUGCGUCUGAUACUGGAUGGCUUGAGUUUGGGAGAGGGAUGCGGAAUUCCAGGUGUAGCGGUGAAAUGCGUAGAUAUCUGGAGGAACACCGGUGGCGAAGGCGGCAUCCUGGACCAACACUGACACUGAGGAGCGAAAGCUAGGGGAGCAAACGGG